CGAAGAUGAGUUUAAUAUUUAUUAAUUAGAAAAUAUUUAUUUAAGUGAUUUUUUCGAAUUAAAAACUAAUGUAAAUUAACAAAUUAAAUUGAAUCUUUUCAUUAAAUAAGAUUAAUUGGAUUGGAUGAAAUUUAGUUUAACAACUUUUAACACUCGAUGUAUAUUUCCAUCUAUUUUAUUUAAUUGUUAGGUGGCACCUGCAGAGUUAGAAGGAUUACUUCUUUCUCAUCCACACAUUACUGAUGCCGUUGUUAUUCCAUUUCCUGAUGUUAAAGCUGGAGAGGUUCCGAUUGCAUACGUUGUUCGAGAUCCCAAAAGUUCACUAACUGAAGAAGAUUUUAAACAAUUCGUGGUAAAUAAGGUAUGAGAUUGAUCUUUUUAAAAUUGCUAGGCUUGUAAUAAGAUUGUUUGUUGUAAUCUAUGCCCUCUCUAUUGAUUUGCUCCUAGGUUGCACAUUAUAAAAAAUUACGGAGUAUUACUUUCUUGGAAAGUGUCCCAAAAUCAGCUUCUGGAAAAAUUUUGAGAAGAGAACUAAUAGAAAAAGUUCGAUCCAAGAUAUAAAGUCAAGAAUUCAUUACCAAUAUUCAACAAAAUAUUGGUUUUUGACUUAAAUAUUUACAACAAUUGUAUGACGUAUAUGUAAUAUUAAGUUUGAUUCUUGUUGAAAGCUAUACACAAA
Gossypium arboreum is the source of this 679-nucleotide long non-coding RNA. RefSeq lists it as uncharacterized. The record is from RefSeq and is a predicted model, not a curated record. NCBI's taxonomy places the organism in Eukaryota, Viridiplantae, Streptophyta, Magnoliopsida, Malvales, Malvaceae. The transcript is spliced from 2 exons.